This 74-nucleotide transfer RNA is filed under the name Garthia gaudichaudii (Chilean marked gecko). RNAcentral's name for it is "tRNA-Asn". The record is from RNAcentral. Lineage: Eukaryota; Metazoa; Chordata; Lepidosauria; Squamata; Phyllodactylidae.
UAGACUAAGGCCCGCUGGAUUAGGCGCCUAGUUGUUAACUAUAGUUUUACGGGAUCGAGGCCCGUUAGUCUAGG